GAAACACUUUUACACUGUUGGUGGUACUGUAAACUAGUUCAACCAUUGUGGAAGACAGUGUGGCAAUUCCUCAAGGAUCUAGAACUAGAAAUUUGACCCAGCCAUCCCAUUACUGGGGAUAUACCCAAAGGAUUAUAAAUCAUCCUGCUAUAAAGACACACGCACACGUAUGUUUAUUGUGGCACCAUUCACAAUAGCAAAGACGUGGAACCAACCCAAAUGUCCAUCAAUGACAGACGGGAUUAAGAAAAUGUGGCACAUAUACACCAUGGAAUACUACGCAGCCAUAAAAAAGGAUGAGUUCGUGUCCUUUGCAGGGACAUGGAUGCAGUUGGAAACCAUCAUUCUCAGCAAACUAUCACAAAACAGAAAAUCAAACACUGCAUGUUCUCACUCACAGGUGGGAAUUGAACAAUGAGAACACUUGGACACAGGAAGGGGAAUGUCACACACUGGGACCUGUUGUGGGGUGGGGGGAGGCGGGAGGAAUAGCAUUAGGAGACAUACCUAAUGUAAAUGAGGAGUUAAUGGGUGCAGCAUACCAACAUGGCACAUGUAUACAUAUGUAACAAACCUGCAUGUUGUGUACAUGUACCUUAGAACUUAAAGUAUAAUAAAAAGAAAAAAAAAUGCAAUGAAUGGUUAUAAGAAAAUCUCUGAAUAAUCAAAGAAUUUCUAAAUUAUUGUACCUCUCUGGCCUUGAUUUUGAUUGCUUUAUCUAUAAAAUGAAAGAGGUGUUUUUUUUUGCUUUUUGUUUUUUUGUUUUUUGAGAAACACUAUGUUGCCCAGGCUAGAGUGGAGUACGGUGGCGUGAUCUCGGCUCACUGCAACCUCAGCUGAAAGAGUUUCAUACAUUAUCACUAAAGUCCUUUCCAGUCCCCAAAUAUUCCGUGGACAGUUCAUGGCAAGGUUGAUACCAACAGGUACCUUUUGUAAGGCCAUAAAGACUGGUUGACUUGUGAAUCCGUAACUGAGGAAAUAGAGCAAACUGGCCUGCAUAAAAUCUUGGGUUGCUUCCCAAGAGUCCAUAUGGACAAUCAGGGGAAAUGGAAGACUGAUGGACACCAAACCUAAGCCCAGGCCUGUUGGACAUGUCCCAUCACCUCCAUCAAUUUGGUUUCACUUUGCCUUCAUUUUAAUGCCUGACUGAAAUUCCUAUUCCCCUCCCCUUUUUCCCCAAUUUUUUUUGAAUCAGGCUUAACUUUCUAAAGCUUAAAAAUUAUAAAGCAAAAAACAGUAUGAAAAAGGGGGGAGGGAAGGAGCUGUACUCACAUAACUGUAGAAUUGAAAGGAACAUUGUGAUGUUAAAGCCUCAAAAAGAGGCUGAACUACUGACUCCUCAGAGGGUCGACUGGUUUGAGCCACAUACAUUAGCACUUGCCUCCUCAGACUGAUCUGUUUGUUGGUUGCUAUGUGGAUGGUGAUAAAAUAUCCAUUUGGAUGGAGUCAAAAAUUAUAUUACACUCUUACAGCACAUCUGCAAAUCCUGGCCUUUUGAACAAAUGACCGCAGUAUACCAGGCCUCUGUGCUGUCAGAAGCUGAUUCCCAAAUACCAACUUUGAACCUCGCCCUACCAUAUGGACUCAUGGGGUCAAUGAAAAAUGGUGUCUGAGGGGCCCCAAAACAUGAGAAGUUCUGGCAAAAAGUGACAGGUUUUAUCCAGGCUGCUGAAGAGAAAUGUACUGAGACUAGAAAAGCUAAGGAGGUGCACGCCUUCAGAACGUGUCUGUAGAUCAAAAUACACCCUAACAGAUUCUUGAGAGAGCCCCUGGCGGCUGUGUUAACCUUGGCAUUGUUAUCAUUAAGAGGCUAUGCUCAUUUCUGGCACCUAACACUGGACAUAUUGACAGCAAUGGGGUUGAUGGAAGAGGAAAGAAUCUGUUUUGCAGUUAAAAAAAAAAAAAAAAA
Long non-coding RNA from Macaca fascicularis (crab-eating macaque), 1909 nucleotides. Lineage: Eukaryota; Metazoa; Chordata; Mammalia; Primates; Cercopithecidae. The record is from Ensembl.